ACAUGGGGAGAUGAAACAAGUACCCACCAGCUCAAACUAACUCAGCAAGUCCAGCAAAGGGGAGGUAGCACAGCAGGAAGACAUGCGAGGGCCCUGCAGCAUUUGCCCUCAGAAAGCAGAAGUCUUCUAUUCACAGUUCUUCCUUCGAACUAUUGAUUCACACUGGGGCAAAAUGAAAAAUUUCCCGGAUCAUGUCAGAGGCAAGGAACUCAGGAAUGGAAGCCACUAGAUACCUUUGGAAGGCGGAGAGAAA
RNAcentral lists this long non-coding RNA (253 nucleotides) under Pan troglodytes (chimpanzee). RNAcentral's name for it is "long non-coding RNA NONPTRT017177". The record is from RNAcentral. Lineage: Eukaryota; Metazoa; Chordata; Mammalia; Primates; Hominidae.